UACAGAGGGUGCGAGCGUUAAUCGGAAUCACUGGGCCUAAAGAGCACGUAGGCUGCGCGCUAAGUCAGGUGUGAAAUCCCCCGGCUCAACCGGGGAACUGCACCUGAUACUGGCGUGCUCGAGGACGGUAGGGGUGAGUGGAACUCCAGGUGGAGCGGUGAAAUGCGUAGAGAUGUGGAGGAACACCAGUGGCGAAGGCGGAUCUCUGGGCCAUUACUGACGCUGAGGAGCGAAAGCGUGGGGAGCGAACAGG
Molecule: ribosomal RNA, 253 nt
Filed under: uncultured bacterium
Lineage: Bacteria
Description: partial 16S ribosomal RNA
Rfam family: Bacterial small subunit ribosomal RNA
Source: RNAcentral